RNAcentral lists this ribosomal RNA (253 nucleotides) under uncultured bacterium. RNAcentral's name for it is "partial 16S ribosomal RNA". It matches the Rfam family "Bacterial small subunit ribosomal RNA", at positions 524 to 776 of the family's 1533-position model. The record is from RNAcentral.
UACGUAGGUGGCAAGCGUUGUCCGGAAUUAUUGGGCGUAAAGCGCGCGCAGGCGGCCUUUUAAGUCUGAUGUGAAAGCCCACGGCUCAACCGUGGAGGGUCAUUGGAAACUGGGGGACUUGAGUACAGAAGAGAAGAGUGGAAUUCCACGUGUAGCGGUGAAAUGCGUAGAGAUGUGGAGGAACACCAGUGGCGAAGGCGACUCUUUGGUCUGUAACUGACGCUGAGGCGCGAAAGCGUGGGGAGCAAACAGG